UUUGUUUCAAAAUUUGUGAGAACCUCAAAUUUUCCAUAACACUGGUUGUUGAUAACUUAAAUGGUUCUUCAAUUAUUGCAUUUUAAGUCUAUGAACGUCCAUUUUUGAUGCACUGUUUGGGCUACUUAAUGAACUCGAAUUGGGUAAUUCGUAUUUUUUAAAAAUAGUCUUACAUACCAUGUAUAACAUAUCCAAAAAUUAGAUUAAUCGGAGUUAUGAGCAAUGCGUUAGAAAAUCGCAAAGUGAGCUAUUGAAAAAUUAGUAUAAACCAAGUCCCACAUCGACUAAAUUGAGAACUUCAC
This 302-nucleotide long non-coding RNA is filed under the name Panax ginseng (ginseng). Its description in RNAcentral is "long non-coding RNA (PGIN_LNC016361)". The record is from RNAcentral. Lineage: Eukaryota; Viridiplantae; Streptophyta; Magnoliopsida; Apiales; Araliaceae.